Molecule: ribosomal RNA, 401 nt
Filed under: uncultured soil bacterium
Lineage: Bacteria
Description: bacterial SSU rRNA
Rfam family: Bacterial small subunit ribosomal RNA
Source: RNAcentral
CAGGUCUUGACAUCCUCUGACAACCCUAGAGAUAGGGCCUUCCCCUUCGGGGGACAGAGUGACAGGUGGUGCAUGGUUGUCGUCAGCUCGUGUCGUGAGAUGUUGGGUUAAGUCCCGCAACGAGCGCAACCCUUGUCCUUAGUUGCCAGCAUUCAGUUGGGCACUCUAGGGAGACUGCCGGUGACAAACCGGAGGAAGGUGGGGAUGACGUCAAAUCAUCAUGCCCCUUAUGACCUGGGCUACACACGUGCUACAAUGGGUGGUACAAAGGGCAGCGAGACCGCGAGGUUAAGCAAAUCCCAUAAAACCACUCUCAGUUCGGAUUGCAGGCUGCAACUCGCCUGCAUGAAGCUGGAAUCGCUAGUAAUCGCGGAUCAGCAUGCCGCGGUGAAUACGUUCCC